AUACGUAGGUGGCAAGCGUUGUCCGGAUUUAUUGGGCGUAAAGCGAGCGCAGGCGGUUUUUUAAGUCUGAUGUGAAAGCCUUCGGCUCAACCGAAGAAGUGCAUCGGAAACUGGGAAACUUGAGUGCAGAAGAGGACAGUGGAACUCCAUGUGUAGCGGUGAAAUGCGUAGAUAUAUGGAAGAACACCAGUGGCGAAGGCGGCUGUCUGGUCUGUAACUGACGCUGAGGCUCGAAAGUAUGGGUAGCAAACAGGAUUAGAUACCCUGGUAGUCCAUACCGUAAACGAUGAAUGCUAAGUGUUGGAGGGUUUCCGCCCUUCAGUGCUGCAGCUAACGCAUUAAGCAUUCCGCCUGGGGAGUACGGCCGCAAGGCUGAA
Molecule: ribosomal RNA, 377 nt
Filed under: uncultured Lactobacillus sp.
Lineage: Bacteria; Bacillati; Bacillota; Bacilli; Lactobacillales; Lactobacillaceae
Description: bacterial SSU rRNA
Rfam family: Bacterial small subunit ribosomal RNA
Source: RNAcentral